GAUGAACGCUAGCGGCAGGCUUAACACAUGCAAGUCGAGGGGUAGUAUAGCAAUAUAUGAGACCGGCGCACGGGUGCGUAACGCGUAUGCAAUCUGCCUUACACUAAGGGAUAGCCCAGAGAAAUUUGGAUUAAUACCUUAUAGUAUAUAGUUGGGACAUCCCUUUUAUAUUAAAGAUUUAUCGGUGUAAGAUGAGCAUG
RNAcentral lists this ribosomal RNA (200 nucleotides) under uncultured bacterium. Its description in RNAcentral is "partial 16S ribosomal RNA". It matches the Rfam family "Bacterial small subunit ribosomal RNA", at positions 28 to 233 of the family's 1533-position model. The record is from RNAcentral.